GCAUACAAUAAGCGGAGGAAAAGAAACCAACAGGGAUUGCCCCAGUAACGGCGAAGUGAAGCGGCAACAGCUCAAAUUUGAAAUCUGGCUUCGGCCCGAGUUGUAAUUUGCAGAGGAAGCUUUAGGCGCGGCACCAUCUGAGUCCCCUGGAACGGGGCGCCAAAGAGGGUGAGAGCCCCGUAGAGAUGGACGCCUAGCCUGUGUAAAGCUCCUUCGACGAGUCGAGUAGUUUGGGAAUGCUGCUCAAAAUGGGAGGUAAAUUUCUUCUAAAGCUAAAUACCGGCCAGAGACCGAUAGCGCACAAGUAGAGUGAUCGAAAGAUGAAAAGCACUUUGAAAAGAGGGUUAAAUAGCACGUGAAAUUGUUGAAAGGGAAGCGCUUGUGACCAGACUUGCGCCGGGCAGAUCAUCCGGUGUUCUCACCGGUGCACUCUGCCCGGCUCAGGCCAGCAUCGGUUCUCGCGGGGGGAUAAAGGCGCCGGGAACGUAGCUCCUCCGGGAGUGUUAUAGCCCGGCGUGUAAUGCCCUCGCGGGGACCGAGGACCGCGCAUCUGCAAGGAUGCUGGCGUAAUGGUCAUCAGCGACCCGUCUUGAAACACGGACCAAGGAGUCAAGGUUUUGCGCGAGUGUUUGGGUGUAAAACCCGCACGCGUAAUGAAAGUGAACGUAGGUGAGAGCUUCGGCGCAUCAUCGACCGAUCCUGAUGUUUUCGGAUGGAUUUGAGUAGGAGCGUUAAGCCUUGGACCCGAAAGAUGGUGAACUAUGCUUGGAUAGGGUGAAGCCAGAGGAAACUCUGGUGGAGGCUCGCAGCGGUUCUGACGUGCAAAUCGAUCGUCAAAUCUGAGCAUGGGGGGCGAAAGACUAAUCGAACCAUCUAGUAGCUGGUACCGC
This 890-nucleotide ribosomal RNA is filed under the name Botryotrichum spirotrichum. RNAcentral's name for it is "LSU rRNA". It matches the Rfam family "Eukaryotic large subunit ribosomal RNA", at positions 38 to 960 of the family's 3401-position model. Lineage: Eukaryota; Fungi; Ascomycota; Sordariomycetes; Sordariales; Chaetomiaceae. The record is from RNAcentral.